RNAcentral lists this ribosomal RNA (497 nucleotides) under uncultured bacterium. RNAcentral's name for it is "partial 16S ribosomal RNA". It matches the Rfam family "Bacterial small subunit ribosomal RNA", at positions 28 to 507 of the family's 1533-position model. The record is from RNAcentral.
GAUGAACGCUGGCGGCGUGCCUAAUACAUGCAAGUCGAGCGAACAGACGAGGAGCUUGCUCCUCUGACGUUAGCGGCGGACGGGUGAGUAACACGUGGAUAACCUACCUAUAAGACUGGGAUAACUUCGAGAAACCGGAGCUAAUACCGGAUAAUAUAUUGAACCGCAUGGUUCAAUAGUGAAAGACGGUUUUGCUGUCACUUAUAGAUGGAUCCGCGCCGCAUUAGCUAGUUGGUAAGGUAACGGCUUACCAAGGCGACGAUGCGUAGCCGACCUGAGAGGGUGAUCGGCCACACUGGAACUGAGACACGGUCCAGACUCCUACGGGAGGCAGCAGUAGGGAAUCUUCCGCAAUGGGCGAAAGCUUGACGGAGCAACGCCGCGUGAGUGAUGAAGGUCUUCGGAUCGUAAAACUCUGUUAUUAGGGAAGAACAAAUGUGUAAGUAACUAUGCACGUCUUGACGGUACCUAAUCAGAAAGCCACGGCUAACUACGUG